RNAcentral lists this long non-coding RNA (677 nucleotides) under Homo sapiens (human). RNAcentral describes it as "non-protein coding lnc-SLC24A3-1:7". The record is from RNAcentral. Lineage: Eukaryota; Metazoa; Chordata; Mammalia; Primates; Hominidae.
CUGCAAGUCUACCUCUUUGGUAGACUUCUCCUUCUACCAUUCAUUGCCCAUCUCCUCCCUGCUAUCCUUUCUCCCUACAGCCUUCUUUGUGGCUACUUUUAAACAUACAAAGCUGAUUGAGCUGUUCCUUGCUGGAACCCUCCCUGAGGACUCUCCCUAAGCCUCUAGCUGCAGCCUCCUCUGCUACUAUCUGAAGUGGAACAGAACAGAAAUAAGGUCUGUUUUCUUUCCGCUUCGCUGUUCUGUUUCUGUCCAAAACAACCGUCUCUCUGACACCUUCGAGGUGUCCCUUUGUCUCUUUGAGGUUCCCUCCGUGACACUGGCUACUUUGUAACUCUAACACUGUCAGCAAUUAAUUCCCAAAGGUGAGGUCCCCGUGGGAAGUGGGAAAACCCAGCGAAUCACCAGGGACCCGCCUGAUUCCGAAAAGGCUGGAUGCUGGCUGGGAACCGGCCCCGCAGCUCCGGCGUCCCCGCCUGCCUGCGCGGCCUUCAGCUGGGGUUACGGAGGGCUCCCAGCGCCGAUCCAAACCGCGUUCCAGGCGGGGUGGGCGGGCCCCUGGCCAGCGAGGCCGAAGCAAAACAACCCGCCCAGGCGUCCAGAGCGUAUCCAACCCUGGAGAACCUGCCCCGGAACCAAGAGCCGCAGCCAGCUCAGGCCUCUCGAGUGGGGCCUUU